Molecule: long non-coding RNA, 8277 nt
Filed under: Triticum aestivum (bread wheat)
Lineage: Eukaryota; Viridiplantae; Streptophyta; Magnoliopsida; Poales; Poaceae
Description: long non-coding RNA (TAES_LNC018096)
Source: RNAcentral
UAUGAUAUGAUGAUAUGAGGGAUCAUGCAAAAUGGCAACUCAUUUGGAUAUGCCUAGCUUGCACCUCCUUCACAAAGCAUCUUUCUGGAUAGAAACUUUGGAAAAUAAUAAUGAAAUAAUACUAGGCAAACGAGGUUUCAUUUUGGCAUGUGGCAAUGAUAUGGACAGGAAAAGGUGUCCAAGGAGUUUGAGGUCAAUUGGGAAAAGGAAAAUAGCACUUGCUUCACAAUGUGCCAUUUAGGGCAGAAUAGGGAAUGAAUUAUUUGAGCAUGAUGAUAAACAUGACACAUGAAAUAUUUUGCCAUAUUUGAGAAAGAUAUGACCCAAAAAAUUUAUGAGAAUUAUUUGGGAAUUUUUGGAGUGAUGGAAAUAAAGGUUGCUUCACAACCUAGGGCAAUUUGAGCUAUUCCUUUAAUAGAAAAGGAAUAUUCCCAAUGAAAAGAAUAUUGGGAUUUGGGCUAGGAUGAAAAUGACAGGGUCUAGGGAAGGGUUUGGGAAUGACAAGCCACUAUGGAAACAAAGAAGAGGGCAUCUUCUUCAGUUUCCAGACCACAAAGCCGCGAAAAAAGAAAACUCAAGCAAAAACCUCAUAAAAACAAAAGAAAAAGAAAGGGCCAAAAAUCAGGCUGUCACAAACCUUACCCCCUUAAAGAAAUCUCGUCCUUGAGAUUUGGUUGCUCAGGGAACAAGUAUGAAGAUACUGUCUUAAGGAAACCGUUUCCAACUCGGGUAUCCUUUUUCUUAUUUUUGUUCCCACUAAAUUUUUAUCUGACUGGCCCUGGGGUGGUUUGCUUUAAUAUAUCCAUAUUCUGACAGAUCUUACGUUGCUUGUUCAUGCUUAUACAGGCUCCAAUUUCUUUUUAGAUCCGCUGACUAACUGACUAUGAUUGAUUCUCACGACUGAAAUAUAUGUCGGUCUCACAAAUCCAAGAGUGAUUUCCGCUGGGUGUGUCAUCCGGCACUGACAAUCUUUCAUGAAGUGGUGAUCAGAUUUUUCUAGUGGACACCCAAGCUCUAACUCCUCGCAUUGGGUUUCUCCACUAAAUGCAGGUCAUUCGGGUUCCAAACAGUGAGUUGGGUAAUAUCCGCUUUCCUGACAGAUUCUGGCUUAUCGCGGAAGUUUCUGAAUCAUCUUAACUCGUUCCACUGUCUUGAGUAUUGGAUCCGUACCAAAUAUUUGAUUGUCGCCUGUCAUGGCUAGCAUAAGAGUUUGACCUGUAUGAUAAUAUCUGCAGACUUGACUGACGGUGGUUCUGCACCACGCGAGUCUUGCAACAAUUUUUCAUACCUGCAUCACUAGUCUUGCUCCUUCAUUAUUGUUUUCUUGGUAUGGAUCCUUGGCUAAAAGAGCUGGGUCAUAUUGCUUCUUCGUAUCACCAUAGGUACUGUCGGUGCAAUUUUUUGGCAAUCAUAGCUUAUCCUCAUUUUUCUGACAGGGUACCCUAUUAAAUGGUAGGUUCAACACCCCUCAAGUUCUGACCGCAGGAAAAUGAUCAUCCGAACCUUUGCAAGAAAUCGGCAAAUAAAUCAGUAGCCACCAGAACGGUCCUUACAACUCAGAUCUGGGACAUUACUGAAAUAACUCAACCACGACUCAGAACGGCCGAAAAGCAGCUCAGAACAUGAGACCGGGUUGAUAAGAAGAAGGUGGCAGCUCCCUAAAAUAGCCAAAAAGCAGCUAUAGGGCUACUGUCACAAAAAGAAACUCAACAACUGUACGAGACGGCUGAAAAGCAGCUCAGAACUCGUGACAGUCGUUGAAGAGAGAAAUAAAAAUCGGCAUCCACCCCAGAUAGCUAAAAAACAGCUUAGAUCACAGGCGCGGUGUCGUCAUUGGAGAAAAAGGGGACAAGGGCUCAUCAAGAUCAUUUUCCAGGUUCACAGGUACUUGUAUUGAGCUCAUUGAUGUCGUCAAUCCUCAUAAUCCUCUAUCACACUGCGGUGUAUACUGGCUUUCUUCUCUUAACCAUCCUCACGUGGUUCUCAGAUCCUCAUCCGAGUGACUUGUAAGAUCUUGGUGGUAUGCCCACCGCAUAUAUAUGAGAAUCUGAUUCCCGAGACAGACGUGUAUUCUGACUGAUUCUCGCUUCUGACCAAAAUGUUGUGGAUAUGAUUCUUGGGAUUCACUGCCAUAUGCAAUUCAAUUCACAGCGUACUACCUUGUACCAAUGUCUUACUGAGGAAGAUUGGCUUGCUUGUGCUUGAAACUUUCAUCGGACACUUUGCUGAAGAAGACUGGGUAUCGUGCUUCAGAAGCUUACCCCCUUAACGAUCUUACUGGGGAAAGACUCAGUACCUUAUGCCGAAAGCUUUUGCGGUUGCUUACUGAAGAAGGCAGAGUACCUUGUACGGGAAAUCAUCCAUGUAUCGUAUUGAGGAAGAUAGAUGAAUCUUGCCUUGGAAGUUUCUCGGGUAUCUUGCGAGGGAAGAUUGGGUUGCUUACACCAGAAGCUUCUUAUUGUGAUAUGCGGACUGAUUUCCACAUAUAUAACCAUCUUAAUAUUUUUGUUAUUGAUUUCUUGUAUGAAACGGGGUUUUGCAGGACUAUCCUCCUUUCUGAGUACAUGCCAUAUUUUUGCUUGCUUCCAGGUACAUCGGGUUCCAAAAUCAUCCUCAACAAAAAAUUAAACUUGUAUCUCAGCCAUACCUUUGAUAAUAUUCUGUCAACCUUGCACACAAUUUAUCUUCUUGCUGAUUUGAUCAUUUCUGCUAUGAGGAGUGCACGCUGAGGGAGACUUGACACUCAGUAACAUGAUCAGAUAUCCCCCAAUCUGAAUGCAGCCGGUUGAGAAUUCCAUACUGUUGUGAGGAGUGCACGUUAAUGCAAACUUUAUACUGACAUUCCAUCCAGGACUCUUUUGUAUUCAGACGAGCUAUUUCCAAUUUCACUACAGUCCGCUGACAAUUCCAUUCUGUUUAGUUGAGUUUCCAAAUAUAUGCAUUUCUUGCUGACUCUUCGGGUCCGGUGUCGGCUGACGAGCAACUUUAAUAGGGGAAAAUUUGUAACACUGAAGGCCCAAAGAAAGAAACAAAAGAAACGACUAAAACAAAAGCACACAAGCAUACUACUAAUAUAAUUAAUCAAGCAAUCAUCACAUAUUACUGCUACUCACACCAUAAUAUGCAUGCACACCUAAGCACACAAAUCGCGCGGAAACUCGGGUAUUACGGUCUAAUAUGCUGUGGCGGUGUGCACGAAAAUUAUAUCCAUGUGUGGAAGGAGUUGGCGUAACCGAAGCUACACCAAGCACUGGCUGAACAGUGGCUGGAUCCGGAUGGAUACACAGGUGAGGACGGACUUGACGAUCAAGUAGCGAGACAUAAAAGUCACGACCACAUCAUCAUCAAACGUACGAAAUGGAUUCAUACACGUCCAAAGAAUAGAAUGACUGGGUAGGGUAGCUGUGGAAAAACAAGGCUCGCUGGCAUUGCCCUUUUCUGAUAACCAAGAUCAGUAAGGGUUGCCAGAGGGACGAGAUGGAUGGCAUGAUUCGGGAUAGAAACAAGUCUAUCACCGAAAUAAUAUGGGUAGGUUGCGGAAAAAUAUAUGCGAUACCUGAGCAUAACUCCUGCAAAUGGUGUCUGGAACUCUGGGUACCAGGGCAUCACUCUGCUGGGACAGAGAUGACGCCGAACACCAAAGAGCAGACAUGCUAAGAAGGAGGGUACACGCGGUGGACCGAAAACGAUGCCACCUACACUCACCAGAUAAAAUCGCUAGCAGCAAAUAAUAAGGCUAUAUGCAUGCUAUGCAACAAACAAAUGCAGCAACCAAAUGCAACAAACAAGGUAGACUCUAUACUACCGAUUACUACCGAUUUCUACCACUCGCGCUGACUAGGGCGUCCUACAGCCAGACCUGCUCUGAUACCAAGCCCGUGGCACCCCGGUUCAGAGAAACCGGAACGCCCCGUAUUCCAGCCCAGAGAUCAAGGAGAAGUCUCUGGAAUACGACACUGCUUGACAUAGAACAAAUAAGCUCUUAUUACAAGAAUAAUAAUACAAGGGUCUGAUGUUACAAAGAAGCACAUCAGCACGGCGGCACUACGCCUACGAUACUACACUUGCUCUAUGCUAGCAGCGAAACAACUUGUAGCAGCGGAAUACUUCUAGCAGCGGAACAACGACGAAGGUGGUGAACUCCACUCCGCAGGGACUCUGGCUGGGACAUGAUCUAGCUCGCACGAACGGACACCUCGACAAACAAUCAAGCAAUCAUGGCAUCACCUGCAAUCUGGCAUGACACGCCAGGUUAAUACAUUGAAUGUACUUGCAAGCUCACAACAACCAUAAACAUCAAGGCAAGACAAUAACAUAGCAUUAACAGGUUAAUUAAUUAACAUCUACCAAGAUGAAGCACCUACUAAUCAUGAUAUGAAACUGAUACAAUACUGAUAAAUCACCAUCUCAGAUCUCCAUAACCAUAUCUCUCUUGGCUAACCGGCCAAGCAAUAUACCAUCUCGAUCACCUCGUGAUCAAAACCAAACGGUGAUCAUUCCGGCGAUCACAACCCUGACCAACACCUGGUCUCAAAUGGUGAUCUUUCCGGCGAUCACUACCAUGACCAACACUUGGUCGCCAACAUCAUCAUCAACAUCCUGCCAAACUAUUACUGCUCACAUAUAUCAACAUAUAAAUAUAUAUCACCUAUAAGUCAUUCUGUCAUGUGAGUGUUGAUCGAACGGUGUGACCUAGUACGAACCCAUGCCCAUGACCAAGGACGCGGCUAUCGAUAGAUUUAAUUACACACUCUGCAGAGGUGGCGCACUUUACCCACACCACGGAAUCCAUGGCCUCGCACUCCCAUUCGGGUGGACCAACGGCGUUCCGACAAAACCGAUCUACUGCCAUGACACUUUCCCGGCCACUCUGACCAACACCCCUUUUUGGGUUCAGUCCUGGGUGGCCCAUGCCUACCAAAGGUCUUACGGCCACCGUCGUGGCAAAAACGGUCCCAAACAGGGACAAAGUGCGCAAAACAACUCGGGCUCACAAGGUCCAUGUCCGCCUACCUGAUCAGGGUAGCGCGUGCCCGUAACCUUCCCUACGUUGGAGGCACCGGCGAGAGGCAUGACAAUAGCAUCGCAUUAGGGCCUUCCCAUAAAGGCAAAUGUGGUUGCACUGGAGAAAGCCCGGUUUGGUGGCACCUGACCAACUUAAUGACAUAAUUUAGCCCCAAAAAUAUAACUGUAAUGACUGAUACUCCGAUAUCAUCUAUCAACCUAUAAUCCAAGUCAUAGCAUACCCAACAAAUAAUCCAAGCAUCAUAACAUCAUACCAAGAUACUCCGAGGAUAGUAUAACACUACUAUCAUGAUGAAUCCAAGAACGAUAAUACUACUACUCAAAUAUCAAGAACUAACUAUCCAACUAUGAUCCACAUGCAAGCAUCAUCUCGAACAUCAUACUCCAAAACAUAAUAUCAUCUAGCAUCAUGAUGGAAAUAACACUAGCCACUAAUAAUCCAAAGGCAACAUGAUAUCCAAAGUAAUACUCCAAAAUACUCCCAGAUACCAUCAUGAAAAUAAUCAUAAUAGCCACUAAGAAUCCAAAGGCACAUGUCAUCCACAUAAUCAUCAAAAUAUAAGUCCUAGAACUCCAAGCAAUAUCAUGGCAAUAGCAAGAUCAAAACAAUACUCCGAGAAUGCCAUGAACAAAUCACAAGUAGCUAGAACAAUAUUUUAAACAAGUUUAAAUAAAGAGACCAUGUCACUGCAUUGCGAUCAUGCAAAUGGAGGGUGUGGCUUUCCUGGGGUGGAAGAAAUCACCGGGAAGAAGUGCGAGAAACUCGCGGAAGGAAUCGCCGGAAAACGUUCAUUCUCGUAGGGGGCUGAUUAAGGGUAGGGAAAAAUGGUCAUUUUCAGAAUGUAAAAACAUGGUGAAAAUGAUACCAACAGAAUGGGCUCGACGAAACAAAGAAGUGGGCUUUGGAAUCACCUCAUUUGGAGUUACGAGCAAAAAGAUAUAAGGGCUUUUCUGCUAGGGACCUAUCUGUAAUGAAAUCAUCACAAACAGGCCCUCGGCUGGAAAAACAGAACGCGCCUUUCUCAGAAAUACCUUUUCCAGAGAGGCCCGCGGGCGUUGACUCUCUCCUCCCACCUCCUUCUUCUUCUCCCCCGACACCGCACGCAGAGUCGAGGAGAGGCGCCAGCGCCGGUGCUCGUUCCGGCAGCUCCGGCCAUCUCCCGAGGAGAUCCGGCCAUGGAUGAGCUCAGCGGAGCACGGCGCAUCACCUGGGACCAUCUUCGGCCGGCUAGGAGGGCCGAAGCGUUGGCUGCUUCGAGGCCGGCGGGCGGAGGUCUUCGGGCGCCGGUGAGCUUGCGGAAAGGGGCCACUAGAGAAGAAGGAGAGAUGCAGGGGAGGCCCGCGGGGGCUAGGUGGGUCUCUGGUGGUGGUAUAAGGAGGGGAGGGGCUCGACUCCAGGCGAAUUUAGCCGGAGCACCGCGGCGGCCAUGGCGGCCUAGAGCAGCGAGGAGGGGUGCUGGAGCUUGGGCGGGAUCCGGGGAGUGGUGUGAGGCUGGGGGUGAGCUCGAACGGCUCGGGGGAGGCCUAUAUAUAGGAGGGCGAGAGGGAUGGGCUCGGGUGCCACCGGGCACAUCUGGCCGAGGCUCUGGCGACGGCCAGCGAGCACGGGAGGGCGCGGGAACAUGACGAGCUAUUGAUGCAGGGAUCACGGAGAGGUAGGCGACGCCGGGGAGCAGAGGAAGAAGCCGAGCACCAUUAAAACAUGUCGGGGCACUGUGCUCCCGUGGGCGUCCGGCGGCGAGCGUCGGUGAGGAAACGGACGGAGGGGGAGAGGGGUCCAGGGGAACGGCGACGACACAGGCCAUCUGCUGGACACGCUCACGCGCGCGAAGGCGACGAGAGGAGGAGGGGGUCCAGCACAAACAGGCACUGGACGCGGCCACUGCACACAGAGCGCGUGCACAGGCACGCCAUUGUCGCGGUCACCGUGUGCACUGGCAUAUAGCGGGGGAGAUGGGCUGGAACUUGUUGGCUACGGGUUAUUUCUUCUAGGGUAGGUCUCAACUACGGUGAUAGUUUGGUGAAAACGGCUCUGGUUAAAAGGUAAUCACCCUCUGAAGUUUACUGCAGUAAACUUGGGUGAGCAUUGGUGAUUAACAGGAAGGUGAUUGGGAGAAAUGGAGUUGUCUGGGAGGUUAGGGUAAGAAGGACUUUCAUCCUGGUAACUUUGAGAAGAUUUGGAUAAAUAUUUAAUGUAGUUGCUUUGCAACUGACCAAAAUGGUCCAGAAACUUGAUCAGGAAGGUGCACUCACAUGGAGUGUCAAACUGAGCUCAAAUUGGGCAAGGCAGAGUCAUUUGGUCCUAUGAAGAUGCUCAAAAAGUCUCAUACCAAUUGGCCAAGCCAAACUAGUACUUGCUUCAGAAACAUCUCCUCUGGAUAGAAACUUGCAAAAAUUCUAGAGGAAUAAAGGCUUGAUGAACCAUGCCCAAAAUGGGUGGAGGUAGGUUAUAUGGAUAAUUGAAGGCCUAGAAAAAUUGGCAGCCAUAAUGGAGCAAGAUAAAAUAUACUUGCUUCACAAACUGAAAUUUUGGAUAGAAUCAAAGAAUUGAAGAUGAGCUCUCAUGGAGGCAUGACAUGAGCUCUACUUUGGUGGAGGGCUAUGAUAUGAUGAUAUGAGGGAUCAUGCAAAAUGGCAACUCAUUUGGAUAUGCCUAGCUUGCACCUCCUUCACAAAGCAUCUUUCUGGAUAGAAACUUUGGAAAAUAAUAAUGAAAUAAUUACUAGGCAAAUGAGGUUGCAUUUUGGCAUGUGGAAAUGAUAUGGACAGGAAAAGGUGUCCAAGGAGUUUGAGGUCAAUUGGGAAAAGAAAAAUAGCACUUGCUUCACAAUGUGCCAUUUAGGGCAGAAUAGGGAAUGAAUUAUUUGAGCAUGAUGAUAAACAUGACAAAUGAAAUAUUUUGCCAUAUUUGAGAAACAUAUGACCCAAACAAUUUAUGAGAAUUAUUUGGGAAUUUUAGGAGAGAUGGAAAUAAAGGUUGCUUCACAACCUAGGGCAAUUUGAGCUAUUCCUUUAAUAGAAAAGGAAUAUUCCCAAUGAAAAGAAUAUUGGGAUUUGGGCUAGGAUGAAAAUGACAGGGUCUAGGGAAGGGUUUGGGAAUGACAAGCUACUCUGGAAACAAAGAAGAGGGCAUCUUCUUCAGUUUCCAGACCACAAAGCCGCGAAAAAAGAAAACUCAAGCAAAAACCUCAGAAAAACAAAAGAAAAAGAAAGGGCCAAAAAUCAGGCUGUCACAGAAUAGCACCAUGAUCU